AACGAACGCUGGCGGCAGGCUUAACACAUGCAAGUCGAGCGCAUCCUUCGGGGUGAGCGGCAGACGGGUGAGUAACGCGUGGGGAUGUGCCUGGUGGUACGGAACAACUCAGGGAAACUUGAGCUAAUACCGUAUAAGCCCUUUUGGGGAAAGAUUUAUCGCCACCAGAUCAACCCGCGUUGGAUUAGCUAGUUGGUGAGGUAACGGCUCACCAAGGCGACGAUCCAUAGCUGGCCUGAGAGGAUGAUCAGCCACACUGGGACUGAGACAUGGCCCAGACUCCUACGGGAGGCAGCAGUGGGGAAUAUUGGACAAUGGGCGCAAGCUUGAUCCAGCCAUGCCGCGUGAGUGAUGAAGGCCUUAGGGUUGUAAAGCUCUUUCACUGGGGAAGAUAAUGACGGUACCCAGAGAAGAAGCCCCGGCUAACUUCGUGCCAGCCGCCGCCGUAA
This 449-nucleotide ribosomal RNA is filed under the name uncultured bacterium. RNAcentral describes it as "partial 16S ribosomal RNA". It matches the Rfam family "Bacterial small subunit ribosomal RNA", at positions 29 to 523 of the family's 1533-position model. The record is from RNAcentral.